This 301-nucleotide ribosomal RNA is filed under the name uncultured bacterium. RNAcentral describes it as "partial 16S ribosomal RNA". It matches the Rfam family "Bacterial small subunit ribosomal RNA", at positions 509 to 807 of the family's 1533-position model. The record is from RNAcentral.
CAGCAGCCGCGGGAAUACGUAGGUGGCAAGCGUUGUCCGGAAUUAUUGGGCGUAAAGGGCUCGCAGGCGGUUUCUUAAGUCUGAUGUGAAAGCCCCCGGCUCAACCGGGGAGGGUCAUUGGAAACCGGGAAACUUGAGUGCAGAAGAGGAGAGUGGAAUUCCACGUGUAGCGGUGAAAUGCGUAGAGAUGUGGAGAAACACCAGUGGCGAAGGCGACUCUCUGGUCUGUAACUGACGCUGAGGAGCGAAAGCGUGGGGAGCGAACAGGAUUAGAGACCCCCGUAGUCCCUGUCUCUUAUAC